UUGGUUUUUGGUUUUUGCGAUCGUAUAUUCGGAUAGAAGCUGUAUAUCAGCUUGACUUGACUGAGAAACUAAGAAAUCGGAAGUCAAAAUUUUCAGUUUUCUUGGUUGAUUUUUAUUUGAAAUGGAAGGAAAGAGCUCAUUGAGAUUCACUCUUGGGAAGCAAUCAUCUUUAGCACCAGACCGGCACCCGGAGGAUUCAGGUGCGGAACAUGAAGAAUUGGAAGAGAUCGAUCCCGGUGUGCGGCUAAUGUACUCCGCCAAUGAGGGCAAUUUGGAUGGGAUUCGUGAACUCUUGAAUUCGGGAAUUGAUGUUAAUUUCCGUGACAUCGAUAACCGUACCGCGCUACAUGUUGCUGCUUGCCAAGGCUAUGCGAACGUGGUCGCUCUAUUGCUUGAUAACGGGGCCGAGGUGGACACCAAAGAUAGAUGGGGGAGCACGCCUCUUGCAGAUGCUAUAUACUAUAAAAACCAUGAUGUGAUCAAACUUUUGGAGAAACGUGGUGCAAAGCCUCUGAUGGCCCCCAUGCGCGUCAAUCAUGCACUUGAAGUCCCAGAAUAUGAAAUUAAUCCUGAGGAGCUCGAUUUUACUAACAGUGUAGAAAUAACCAAGGGAACUUUUCGUCUAGCAUCAUGGCGUGGAAUUCAAGUGGCUGUUAAAAGGCUGGGGGAGGAUGUGAUUUCUGAUGAGGAGA
RNAcentral lists this unclassified non-coding RNA (692 nucleotides) under Hevea brasiliensis (rubber tree). Lineage: Eukaryota; Viridiplantae; Streptophyta; Magnoliopsida; Malpighiales; Euphorbiaceae. The record is from RNAcentral.